RNAcentral lists this ribosomal RNA (741 nucleotides) under uncultured bacterium. RNAcentral's name for it is "bacterial SSU rRNA". It matches the Rfam family "Bacterial small subunit ribosomal RNA", at positions 46 to 806 of the family's 1533-position model. The record is from RNAcentral.
GCCUUCACAUGCAGUCGAGCGAUGAAGUUCCUUCGGGAAUGGAUUCGCGGCGGACGGGUGAGUAACACGUGGGUAACCUGCCUCAAAGUGGGGGAUAGCCCUCCGAAAGGAGGAUUAAUACCGCAUAAAGUUAAGCUUCCGCAUGGGGGCAUAACCAAAGGAGUAAUCCGCUUUGAGAUGGACCCGCGGUGCAUUAGCUAGUUGGUGAGGUAACGGCUCACCAAGGCCACGAUGCAUAGCCGACCUGAGAGGGUGAUCGGCCACAUUGGAACUGAGAUACGGUCCAGACUCCUACGGGAGGCAGCAGUGGGGAAUAUUGCGCAAUGGGGGAAACCCUGACGCAGCAACGCCGCGUGGGUGAUGAAGGUCUUCGGAUUGUAAAACCCUGUCUUCUGGGACGAUAAUGACGGUACCAGAGGAGGAAGCCACGGCUAACUACGUGCCAGCAGCCGCGGUAAUACGUAGGUGGCGAGCGUUGUCCGGAUUUACUGGGCGUAAAGGAUGCGUAGGCGGAUAUUUAAGUCAGAUGUGAAAUACCCGAGCUUAACUUGGGUGCUGCAUUUGAAACUGGGUAUCUAGAGUGCAGGAGAGGUAAGUGGAAUUCCUAGUGUAGCGGUGAAAUGCGUAGAGAUUAGGAAGAACACCAGUGGCGAAGGCGACUUACUGGACUGUAACUGACGCUGAGGCAUGAAAGCGUGGGUAGCAAACAGGAUUAGAUACCCUGGUAGUCCACGCCGUAAA